CUGCUUCCCACUCUCCACCUCAUCCAUAUUUGUCCUCGUCCCUGCCAGUCUCGAAAAGGCACUCUGUCACGUGUACACAGGAAAGGGCCCUGACAAGAGGAUGGGACUGCAGUUGUGGCUGCCAGGGCCCCGGCCAGGGUGAAAACAAGGAACAUUCCAGAGAAGAUCACAAGGAUGCGAAUAAAAUCGGAGCUGCACAGGGAUCUUUGGGCUGUAAUAGGAGGGGACACACAGGGGUUAGGGGAGGGUCUAGCCCUUGGCUCCCUCAGCCCAGCCCUCCUGUCACCUUGCCUCUCCCCUUCCCCCACCUUAUUCUAUCCCACCCGCCACCGUUGGCCAACUCCUCUCCUAAACAGUGGACUCUGCUUUUUCCCCUCCUCUUAUCCCUAAUCCUAGGAGCUUUCUGUCUGGCUUCCCUCCUGGCCCCUCAUGUAUGCAUUCUCUCUAGCGGUGGGGAUUAAGGAGAAAACUCACGUGGCCAGUGGGUAGAGAGAGUCCGGGCAGGCAGCUGCCUGAAGUCAGCCAGAGUCUGCAUGUGCCCAGCUGUCCUGGCCUCCAGCAUCUCUGGAAAAACAGAGACAGAAUGAGUAGCAGCAGGGAACCCCAUAGGGCACAUCUGAAGGCCUGAGAGGUGCUGGAUGGGAUGGGAAGGCAGAAACAGGCUGACCUUAUCUAGUGGUAGGAGUGGGGAGUACUGGUUGGGGUAUCACCGCUACCCCACGUGAUGGCACAGAGAGUUGCCUAGAACUUACCACUGACAUAAGGUAAGUGGGUGGGCUGAGGGUGUGGGCUCAGGGCCUGAGACGACCGAGCGGUCAGUGAAGGGUUUGGAAGAGGAUCACACUCGGUGCACUCCUUGUCCCUGCACUGCCAGCCAUUGCGACAGGCACACUCAGCAUUGGCAGUGAUGGUGCAGUUGCGAACGAGAAGACCUGGGGGAAGAGAGGACCAGGGAGCAUAGGACACUCAGACCUGUGGAGACCUUCAAGGUCCACUUGCUUCAUCCCCCAACCCCCAUCCCAGGCCCACCUCUAGGGACGUGCUUCCCUUUCCAUUCCCACCCCUGCAAAGGCCUGCCCUUUGCUCACGGCCCCCCAAUGCCUUUGCCAUUAUUAUUGUUAUUAAAGAAGAAAGUUGGACCUUUCAGAAGGAAGAUUCAUGGGUUCAGACAUAGAAACCAUGAAAAGUAGAAAGAGCUUAUAUGACUUUCUCUUGUACUCCCUGAUACAUUUUUUAUUUUUUAUUUAUUUUUUUGAGAUGGAGUCUCGCUCUUGUUGCCGAGGCUGGAGUGCAAUGGCGUGACCUUGGCUCAUUGCAACCUCUGCCUCCCGGGUUCAAGCAAUUCUCCUGCCUCAGCCUCCCAAGUAGCUGGGAUUACAGGUGCCCGUCACCACACCCGGCUAAUUUUUUGUAUUUUUAGUAGCAACGGAGUUUUACUGUAUUGGCCAGGCUGGUAUUAAACUCCUGACCUCAGGUGAUGCACCAGCCUCAGCCUCCCAAAGUGUUGGGAUUACAGGCGUGAGCCACUGUGCUCGGCCCCAAUACUUUAAUAACUUUUAAUUAAAGUAUAAUAUACGUACAGAGAGGCACGCAUGAUUGUAAAGCUUAAGAAUUUGUACAAAUUUGGCUCACAGGGAUAACCAGCAGCAGAUCAACAAAUAGAAAAUAGCCGGGUGAGGCAGGGAAUUGCUUGAACCCGGGAGGUGGAAGUUGCAGUGAGCCGAGAUCAUGCCACUGCACUCCAGCCUGGGCAACAGAGUGAAACUCCGUCUCAAAAAAAAAAAAAAAGAAAAGAAAGAAAGAAAA
Pan troglodytes (chimpanzee) is the source of this 1806-nucleotide long non-coding RNA. RefSeq lists it as uncharacterized. The record is from RefSeq and is a predicted model, not a curated record. Lineage: Eukaryota; Metazoa; Chordata; Mammalia; Primates; Hominidae. The transcript has 2 exons.